AGAGUUUGAUCCUGGCUCAGGACGAACGCUGGCGGCGUGCCAUAUAUACAUGCAAGUAGCACGCUGAAGAGAGGAGCUUGCUCUUCUUGGAUGAGUUGCGAACGGGUGAGUAACGCGUAGGUAACCUGCCUUGUAGCGGGGGAUAACUAUUGGAAACGAUAGCUAAUACCGCAUAACAAUGGAUGACACAUGUCAUUUAUUUGAAAGGGGCAAUUGCUCCACUACAAGAUGGACCUGCGUUGUAUUAGCUAGUAGGUGAGGUAAUGGCUCACCUAGGCGACGAUACAUAGCCGACCUGAGAGGGUGAUCGGCCACACUGGGACUGAGACACGGCCCAGACUCCUACGGGAGGCAGCAGUAGGGAAUCUUCGGCAAUGGGGGCAACCCUGACCGAGCAACGCCGCGUGAGUGAAGAAGGUUUUCGGAUCGUAAAGCUCUGUUGUAAGUCAAGAACGGGUGUGAGAGUGGAAAGUUCACACUGUGACGGUAGCUUACCAGAAAGGGACGGCUAACUACGUGCCAGCAGCCGCGGUAAUACGUAGGUCCCGAGCGUUGUCCGGAUUUAUUGGGCGUAAAGCGAGCGCAGGCGGUUUGAUAAGUCUGAAGUUAAAGGCUGUGGCUCAACCAUAGUUCGCUUUGGAAACUGUCAAACUUGAGUGCAGAAGGGGAGAGUGGAAUUCCAUGUGUAGCGGUGAAAUGCGUAGAUAUAUGGAGGAACACCGGUGGCGAAAGCGGCUCUCUGGUCUGUAACUGACGCUGAGGCUCGAAAGCGUGGGGAGCGAACAGGAUUAGAUACCCUGGUAGUCCACGCCGUAAACGAUGAGUGCUAGGUGUUGGAUCCUUUCCGGGAUUCAGUGCCGCAGCU
Molecule: ribosomal RNA, 865 nt
Filed under: uncultured bacterium
Lineage: Bacteria
Description: bacterial SSU rRNA
Rfam family: Bacterial small subunit ribosomal RNA
Source: RNAcentral